CCUACGGGUGGCAGCAGUGGGGAAUAUUGCACAAUGGGGGAAACCCUGAUGCAGCGACGCCGCGUGAGUGAAGAAGUAUUUCGGUAUGUAAAGCUCUAUCAGCAGGGAAGAAAAUGACGGUACCUGAUUAAGAAGCACCGGCUAACUACGUGCCAGCAGCCGCGGUAAUACGUAGGGGGCAAGCGUUAUCCGGAUUUACUGGGUGUAAAGGUAGCGUAGACGGCAGCACAAGUCUGGAGUGAAAUGCCGGGGCUUAACCCCGGAACUGCUUUGGAAACUGUGCAGCUAGAGGGCAGGAGAGGUAAGUGGAAUUCCGAGUGGUGCGGUGAAAGGCGUAGAUAGUAGGAGGAAAACCAGUGGCGAAGGCGGCUUACUGGACUGUAACUGACGUUGAGGCUCGAAAGCGUGGGGAGCAAACAGGAUUAGAUACCCCUGUAGUC
Molecule: ribosomal RNA, 440 nt
Filed under: uncultured bacterium
Lineage: Bacteria
Description: partial 16S ribosomal RNA
Rfam family: Bacterial small subunit ribosomal RNA
Source: RNAcentral